GGUGUUAUAGUGUAGUUGGUUAUCACGUCAGUCUUACACAUUGAAGGUUUUUGGUUCAAGUCUAAGUGACACCA
This is a non-coding RNA of Benincasa hispida (wax gourd), 74 nucleotides long. NCBI's taxonomy places the organism in Eukaryota, Viridiplantae, Streptophyta, Magnoliopsida, Cucurbitales, Cucurbitaceae. The record is from the annotation of a RefSeq genome assembly.